CUUGUUUUCAAAAGAAAGAGGUGGAGAGUGACACAUUGAAACUCAGCAGAACAAAAGUACAGGCAGCAGCACCUGUCCUAUCUCAAAAGGGAUGCUGUUCCAAAGAAGAGAGGCAGCCACACUGAAAGCCCUGCUCUAUGAUAUCUCACUGACGUGCAAGCAGAGCCAAUGGCACCAUUGAAGGAUCUAGGCUGAAAUGUCCAAAAAACAUACCAUCCUACAGAUGUUGGAUAUCGUAAAACAUUAUUUCAGAAUUCAAAAAGCCAAAGAUCUGAUUUGCAUUUAGAUCCUGAAAUCUUUGAUUCAUGUGCAGUUUUGAAUUUGAGAAGCAAACUUAGAACUUUUAAAUUCAGAGAGAGUCAACAGUGGAGAGCUGGGGCCUAUUCUUGUAACUGCUUUGGUGCAGGGUUUGUUCCCAAUUAUUUCAGCCCAUUGUUAGGUAUUACGGGGUAAG
Molecule: long non-coding RNA, 454 nt
Organism: Rhineura floridana
Lineage: Eukaryota; Metazoa; Chordata; Lepidosauria; Squamata; Rhineuridae
Exons: 3
Source: RefSeq, a predicted model, not a curated record